UACGUAGGGGUGCGAGCGUUUGUCCGGAAUUAUUGGGGCGUAAAGGGCUCGUAGGCGGUUUGUCGCGUCGGGAGUGAAAACCAUGGGCUUAACUCAUGGCUUGCUUCCGAUACGGGCAGACUAGAGGUAUGCAGGGGAGAACGGAAUUCCUGGUGUAGCGGUGAAAUGCGCAGAUAUCAGGAGGAACACCGGUGGCGAAGGCGGUUCUCUGGGCAUGUCCUGACGCUGAGGAGCGAAAGUGUGGGGAGCGAACAGG
RNAcentral lists this ribosomal RNA (256 nucleotides) under uncultured bacterium. Its description in RNAcentral is "partial 16S ribosomal RNA". It matches the Rfam family "Bacterial small subunit ribosomal RNA", at positions 524 to 776 of the family's 1533-position model. The record is from RNAcentral.